AGCUAGUUGGUGGGGUAAAAGCUCACCAAGGCGACGAUCUGUAGCGGGUCUGAGAGGAUGAUCCGCCACACUGGAACUGAGACACGGUCCAGACUCCUACGAGAGGCAGCAGUGGGGAAUUUUGGACAAUGGGGGCAACCCUGAUCCAGCCAUGCCGCGUGAGUGAAGAAGGCCUUCGGGUUGUAAAGCUCUUUCAGCCGGGAAGAAAACGCAUUGGUUAAUACCUGAUGUGGAUGACGGUACCGGAAUAAGAAGCACCGGCUAACUACGUGCCAGCAGCCGCGGUAAUACGUAGGGUGCGAGCGUUAAUCGGAAUUACUGGGCGUAAAGCGUGCGCAGGCGGUUUUGUAAGAUAGGCGUGAAAUCCCCGGGCUUAACCUGGGAACUGCGUUUAUGACUGCAAAGCUAGAGUACGGCAGAGGGGGGUGGAAUUCCACGUGUAGCAGUGAAAUGCGUAGAGAUGUGGAGGAACACCAAUGGCGAAGGCAGCCCCCUGGGUCGAUACUGACGCUCAUGCACGAAAGCGUGGGUAGCAAACAGGAUUAGAUACCCUGGUAGUCCACGCCCUAAACGAUGUCAACUAGGUGUUGGGAGGGUAAAACCUUUUAGUACCGGAGCUAACGCGUGAAGUUGACCGCCUGGGGAGUACGGCCGCAAGGUUAAAACUCAAAGGAAUUGACGGGGACCCGCACAAGCGGUGGAUGAUGUGGAUUAAUUCGAUGCAACGCGAAAAACCUUACCUACCCUUGACAUGUCAGGAACUUGCCAGAGAUGGCCUGGUGCUCGAAAGAGAACCUGAACACAGGUGCUGCAUGGCUGUCGUCAGCUCGUGUCGUGAGAUGUUGGGUUAAGUCCCGCAACGAGCGCAACCCUUGUCGUUAAUUGCCAUCAUUUAGUUGGGCACUUUAACGAGACUGCCGGUGACAAACCGGAGGAAGGUGGGGAUGACGUCAAGUCCUCAUGGCCCUUAUGGGUAGGGCUUCACACGUCAGACAAUGGUCGGUACAAAGGGUCGCCAACCCGCGAGGGGGAGCCAAUCCCAGAAAGCCGAUCGUAGUCCGGAUUGCAGGCUGCAACUCGCCUGCAUGAAGUCGGAAUCGCUAGUAAUCGUGGAUCAGCAUGUCACGGUGAAUACGUUCCCGGGUCUUGUACACACCGCCCGUCACACCAUGGGAGCGGGUUCCGCCAGAAGUAGGUAGCCUAACCGCAAGGAGGGCGCUUACCACGGCGGGGUUCGUGACUGGGGUGAAGUCGUAACAAGGUAGCCGUAGGGGAACCUGCGGCUG
RNAcentral lists this ribosomal RNA (1286 nucleotides) under metagenome. RNAcentral describes it as "bacterial SSU rRNA". It matches the Rfam family "Bacterial small subunit ribosomal RNA", at positions 243 to 1520 of the family's 1533-position model. The record is from RNAcentral.